AUUCAAAUAGCUUAUAUAGAGUAUGACAUUGAAGCUGUUAAGGAGAAUUAAUAUUCUUUGAAUA
This 64-nucleotide transfer RNA is filed under the name Ocellarnaca emeiensis. Its description in RNAcentral is "tRNA-Phe". Lineage: Eukaryota; Metazoa; Arthropoda; Insecta; Orthoptera; Gryllacrididae. The record is from RNAcentral.